GGCUUCGUAGCUCAGCUGGCAGAGCGCUUGCCGCGUAGAGGCAUGGUUUUUCUGUCGCUGGUUCAAACCCAGCCGAAGCUC
RNAcentral lists this transfer RNA (81 nucleotides) under Paragonimus heterotremus. It matches the Rfam family "tRNA". From Rfam's summary of the family: Transfer RNA (tRNA) molecules are approximately 80 nucleotides in length. Their secondary structure includes four short double-helical elements and three loops (D, anti-codon, and T loops). Lineage: Eukaryota; Metazoa; Platyhelminthes; Trematoda; Plagiorchiida; Troglotrematidae. The record is from Rfam by way of RNAcentral.